UGUUAAGAACGAAUUUCUCGUUUCGCUCGAUACCACGAGCAUUUUUUCUACGAGUUGCGUUGCGUCGACGUACACCAUGUUCAAAUAUUCGACGAUCUGCAAAAUUUUCGGCGGGUGAACAAAAUUAAGAAUAUCCAGAAAUUGCAGUUAAUGGUA
Molecule: long non-coding RNA, 156 nt
Organism: Ostrinia furnacalis (Asian corn borer)
Lineage: Eukaryota; Metazoa; Arthropoda; Insecta; Lepidoptera; Crambidae
Exons: 2
Source: RefSeq, a predicted model, not a curated record